Long non-coding RNA from Sphaeramia orbicularis (orbiculate cardinalfish), 124 nucleotides. RefSeq lists it as uncharacterized. The transcript has 3 exons. Lineage: Eukaryota; Metazoa; Chordata; Actinopteri; Kurtiformes; Apogonidae. The record is from RefSeq and is a predicted model, not a curated record.
CCUCAGUAUAAUUUUUGGCAUUUCACAAAUUCAUCCCAGGUGCCAGAUUGGACCCUUUGGCGGGCCGGAUUUGGCCCCCGGGCCGCAUGUUUGACACCUCUGCUGUAGGGAGAGAAGGUCAUGU